AUAGUAGUGUCAGAGUUUGAUCCUGGCUCAGGACGAACGCUGGCGGCGUGCCUAACACAUGCAAGUCGAGCGAAGGAUAUAUGAGGAAAUCUUCGGAUGGAAUCAUAUAAACUUAGCGGCGGACGGGUGAGUAACGCGUGAGGAACCUGCCUUGCACAAGGGGAUAGCCUCGGGAAACCGGGAUUAGUACCCUAUAUGCUCACGAGAGGCGCCUGCCUUGGUGAGGAAAGAUUUAUCACUGACAGAUGGACAUGCGUCCCAUUAGCUGGUUGGUAGGGUAACGGCCUACCAAGGCAACGAUGGGUAGGGGAACUGAGAGGUUUAUCCCCCACAUUGGUACUGAGACACGGACCAA
This 355-nucleotide ribosomal RNA is filed under the name uncultured bacterium. RNAcentral's name for it is "bacterial SSU rRNA". It matches the Rfam family "Bacterial small subunit ribosomal RNA", at positions 1 to 334 of the family's 1533-position model. The record is from RNAcentral.